GACGAACGCUGGCGGCGUGCCUAAUACAUGCAAGUAGAACGCUGAAGGAGGAGCUUGCUUCUUCGGAUGAGUUGCGAACGGGUGAGUAACGCGUAGGUAACCUGCCUGGUAGCGGGGGAUAACUAUUGGAAACGAUAGCUAAUACCGCAUAACAGUAGAUGUUGCAUGACAUUUGCUUAAAAGGUGCAAUUGCAUCACUACCAGAUGGACCUGCGUUGUAUUAGCUAGUUGGUGGGGUAACGGCUCACCAAGGCGACGAUACAUAGCCGACCUGAGAGGGUGAUCGGCCACACUGGGACUGAGACACGGCCCAGACUCCUACGGGAGGCAGCAGUAGGGAAUCUUCGGCAAUGGACGGAAGUCUGACCGAGCAACGCCGCGUGAGUGAAGAAGGUUUUCGGAUCGUAAAGCUCUGUUGUAAGAGAAGAACGAGUGUGAGAGUGGAAAGUUCACACUGUGACGGUAUCUUACCAGAAAGGGACGGCUAACUACGUGCCAGCAGCCGCGGUAAUACGUAGGUCUCGAGCGUUGUCCGGAUUUAUUGGGCGUAAAGCGAGCGCAGGCGGUUAGAUAAGUCUGAAGUUAAAGGCUGUGGCUUAACCAUAGUACGCUUUGGAAACUGUUUAACUUGAGUGCAAGAGGGGAGAGUGGAAUUCCAUGUGUAGCGGUGAAGUGCGUAGAUAUAUGGAGGAACACCGGUGGCGAAAGCGGCUCUCUGGCUUGUAACUGACGCUGAGGCUCGAAAGCGUGGGGAGCAAACAGG
This 763-nucleotide ribosomal RNA is filed under the name uncultured Streptococcus sp. RNAcentral's name for it is "bacterial SSU rRNA". It matches the Rfam family "Bacterial small subunit ribosomal RNA", at positions 28 to 776 of the family's 1533-position model. The record is from RNAcentral. Lineage: Bacteria; Bacillati; Bacillota; Bacilli; Lactobacillales; Streptococcaceae.